Molecule: long non-coding RNA, 276 nt
Filed under: Mytilus galloprovincialis (Mediterranean mussel)
Lineage: Eukaryota; Metazoa; Mollusca; Bivalvia; Mytilida; Mytilidae
Source: RNAcentral
GUUGACCGAAGUACAUUUUGUAUGAAGCGCGGAAGCGCUUCAUUCUAAAAAUGUGCGCACGGUCAACGCUUUUACAACCCUAUAAAGUUACAAAAAGAAGCAUUCAAUACUUAUAAUUACAUUUUUUAGCUAUGAUCAUGAAAACACGAAUUUUAUAUAUUUUUUAUUUAAUUCACCUGUGCACUUUAUUGUUGGACCACGUGUUAUCAUGAAUGAAAAGUUGUAUUGAGCAAUGCAACUGCUUACGGAAUAACACGUGAUGUGCAGUUAGCCAAU